This 498-nucleotide ribosomal RNA is filed under the name uncultured bacterium. RNAcentral describes it as "partial 16S ribosomal RNA". It matches the Rfam family "Bacterial small subunit ribosomal RNA", at positions 29 to 507 of the family's 1533-position model. The record is from RNAcentral.
AGCGAACGCUGGCGGCGUGCCUAACACAUGCAAGUCGAACGUGAAAAGGGAAACCUGAGUAAAGUGGCGUACGGGUGAGUAACGCGUAGGUAAUCUACCCCAGAAUCUGGAAUAACCUGCCGAAAGGCGGGCUAAUACUGGAUAGAGCGAGGGAACUCGUAAGAGAGUUUUUCGGGAAAGGGAGCCCGCAAGGGCCUUCGUUCUGGGAUGAGCCUGCGUCUCAUUAGCUAGUUGGUAAGGUAACGGCUUACCAAGGCGAUGAUGAGUAGCUGGUCUGAGAGGAUGAUCAGCCACACUGGAAGUGAAACACGGUCCAGACUCCUACGGGAGGCAGCAGUGGGGAAUCUUGCGCAAUGGACGAAAGUCUGACGCAGCCACGCCGCGUGAGUGAAGAAGGCCUUCGGGUUGUAAAGCUCUGUCGGAUGGGACGAACAUCUUCAUAGUGAAUAGCUAUGAGGACUGACGGUACCAUCAAAGGAAGCACCGGCUAACUCCGUG